RNAcentral lists this long non-coding RNA (329 nucleotides) under Elaeis guineensis (African oil palm). Its description in RNAcentral is "long non-coding RNA (EGUI_LNC058417)". Lineage: Eukaryota; Viridiplantae; Streptophyta; Magnoliopsida; Arecales; Arecaceae. The record is from RNAcentral.
UCAAUAAAAAAUCUACUUUGUAUGGGUAUGAGUAAAAAAUAUCAAUACAUGUAAAAUGCUUAGCUAGAUAAAAAUAGAUUUUUAAUAUUGUCUCGUCGAAUAACUGGACCUUUCUACCUAAGCAAGCGAUGAGUCUCGCAUCAAAAAAUGGAGAUGUGAAGAAACUCUAUCAUAUAGUGGUUGCAAUCCCAUGACUGUGAGGAGCUUGGUUACGGUGAGUGGAAAUUCUUUGUGAACCACAUACGAUGCAGAAAAUUCGAUGUAAAGCACACCAUCUUGUUCGAUUGGCCCAUAUAGCCACCACUUUCCAAUGCACAUUUAAUGCCAAU